GACGAACGCUGGCGGCGUGCCUAAUACAUGCAAGUUGAGCGAUGAAGGUUGGUGCUUGCACCAAUUUGAAGAGCAGCGAACGGGUGAGUAACGCGUGGGGAAUCUGCCUUUGAGCGGGGGACAACAUUUGGAAACGAAUGCUAAUACCGCAUAACAACUUUAAACAUAAGUUUUAAGUUUGAAAGAUGCAAUUGCAUCACUCAAAGAUGAUCCCGCGUUGUAUUAGCUAGUUGGUGAGGUAAAGGCUCACCAAGGCGAUGAUACAUAGCCGACCUGAGAGGGUGAUCGGCCACAUUGGGACUGAGACACGGCCCAAACUCCUACGGGAGGCAGCAGUAGGGAAUCUUCGGCAAUGGACGAAAGUCUGACCGAGCAACGCCGCGUGAGUGAAGAAGGUUGUCGGAUCGUAAAACUCUGUUGGUAGAGAAGAACGUUGGUGAGAGUGGAAAGCUCAUCAAGUGACGGUAACUACCCAGAAAGGGACGGCUAACUACGUG
This 497-nucleotide ribosomal RNA is filed under the name uncultured bacterium. RNAcentral's name for it is "partial 16S ribosomal RNA". It matches the Rfam family "Bacterial small subunit ribosomal RNA", at positions 28 to 507 of the family's 1533-position model. The record is from RNAcentral.